RNAcentral lists this long non-coding RNA (1708 nucleotides) under Anthonomus grandis grandis. RNAcentral describes it as "uncharacterized LOC126739938". Lineage: Eukaryota; Metazoa; Arthropoda; Insecta; Coleoptera; Curculionidae. The record is from RNAcentral.
UAUUCAAUAUAAUUUCAUAAUAAUAUCACAAUUUAAACAUCAAAAGAAUCAUGCAAAUUCAGGUUGUGGGUUUUAUUUCCUUCAUUCCCCAAAAUCUUAAUGAUUUAAUUGAAGACCUUGGUGCAAGAACCGGGCAAGUCCAUUUUCCUUAUAAAAUGAGUUAAACAUAUCAACCCAUAUAAAUUUAAAUUGCACGUCUUUUGGUGCAAGAAUCAGGCAAGACCCUGGCAUAUAGUGAAAAAUAUAAAGGCAAAGGACAAAAACCGCCGCGCCGCUCUAACCAGUUUAGUAUGCUUUUGGCUCGUUUAUCGUUAGUUAAUUUGUUGGUUUAAUAUUGUUUAUCUUUAAAGUACAUGUCUAGCUUUUAAAUAGGCCAUGUCAGUGCAAGAUUCGGAACCUUUUCAAAGUUCGGGAAGUGAAUAUGUUCCAACCAUAAGCAGGUGAACCUGGAACACAUAGGGGGAUACGUAAAACUAAAUUACGUGUCCGGAAACAACCACAAAAGGCAGAAAAUGUUAAAAAAGGUUGAAAACGUCCGAGGCGUGAAUAUGAAUGGGACAGUAAUGUUUGUAAAAUUUCAAGAGCCAGUGGAUAUGAAUACGUAAAUACUGGUAUAAAAGUCGUGCCGAAAAGAGUGAUUGUGUUUGUCCACGACGGUGCUUCUUAAAUAUAUCUCAGCAAACCAGGCAAUCAGUUUUAGAAACUUUUAAUAAACUAGCAGAUAAGGAGAAACAAGACUUAUAUUUAGCGGGGCUAAUCUCGUCAAAACUGAUAGCUCGUAAACGUCCAAGGACCGGUGAAGGAACGCAAAAAUCUGUUUCUCAUACAUUAAGAUACGAGUGGGCUCCGAAUAAUAUCAAGUGUGCAGAAAAGCUUUUAUGGCCAUUCAUGGCAUCACCAAACAUCGAGUGGACCGAUUAGCUUCUCGUUUAAUGAGAAACAUAACACCGUCAGCUGAUAAGAGAGGAAAGCACGAAAAUCGUCCUAAUAAAAUACCCUGUCAAAUAAAAACGCAAAUAGAUAACCACAUAAAAAGUUUCCCCAGAAGAAGUUCUUACUACAGCCGAGAAAAAAAUGAUGGAAAGUACUACUUACCUUCAGAUUUGAAUAUUUUAAAGAUGCAUAUGAUGUAUCUAAAAAAAUAUGAGCCAGCUGUUUAUCAAUGUCUUGCCAGCGGCGAACAAUGUCAACCAGAGGUCACAUAUGACUUUUACUACCGCCACUUUAUAUCGAACUAUAAUAUCAGCUUUGGUGUGCCCCUGUCCGACACAUGCCAAACCUGUGAUCGCUUAGUUAACCAAAUAGCUGGGAAGGCUAAUAAUGAAAACAAAGUAGCUUUGCAAACUGAAAAGACCGUCCAUUUAAGUAAGGCAAAGUAUUUUACACAAAUCUUAAACAAAAAAGUGCACUUGCCAAGGAGAAUCCUAAUGUGGAGACGUUAUGCUUUGACUACCAACAAAAUUGUUAUAAAAAUUUUCUAUUAAUAAACGAUAAAAAAGUAAAGGAUUGCAAGAGUUUGGUCCAAAAAUAUGUCCCAGCCGCUUAUCAAGAUUUUUAUAAGACUCUUCGGAGAUUUGGCUACAGACUAACCUGAAGAGAAUCCACCCGAAACCGCUGAGGAGAAUGAAGGAUAUGAAACUGAUUCCUCACUAAUUUAAGAAUGAAACACUGUUAAUUUUUAAAAACAAUAAACAUUUUUUCAAAAUAU